Molecule: ribosomal RNA, 497 nt
Filed under: uncultured bacterium
Lineage: Bacteria
Description: partial 16S ribosomal RNA
Rfam family: Bacterial small subunit ribosomal RNA
Source: RNAcentral
GAUGAACGCUGGCGGCGUGCCUAAUACAUGCAAGUCGAGCGAACAGACGAGGAGCUUGCUCCUUUGACGUUAGCGGCGGACGGGUGAGUAACACGUAGGUAACCUACCUAUAAGACUGGGAUAACUUCGGGAAACCGGAGCUAAUACCGGAUAAUAUUUCGAACCGCAUGGUUCGAUAGUGAAAGAUGGCUUUGCUAUCACUUAUAGAUGGACCUGCGCCGUAUUAGCUAGUUGGUAAGGUAACGGCUUACCAAGGCAACGAUACGUAGCCGACCUGAGAGGGUGAUCGGCCACACUGGAACUGAGACACGGUCCAGACUUCUACAGGAGGCAGCAGUAGGGAAUCUUCCGCGAUGGGCGAAAGCCUGACGGAGCAACGCCGCGUGAGUGAUGAAGGUCUUCGGAUCGUAAAACUCUGUUAUUAGGGAAGAACAAACGUGUAAGUAACUGUGCACGUCUUGACGGUACCUAAUCAGAAAGCCACGGCUAACUACGUG